RNAcentral lists this long non-coding RNA (6396 nucleotides) under Sus scrofa (pig). Its description in RNAcentral is "lncRNA (ENSSSCG00030002070.1)". The record is from RNAcentral. Lineage: Eukaryota; Metazoa; Chordata; Mammalia; Artiodactyla; Suidae.
UUUUUUUUUUUUUUGCAUGCACUUCACUGAUCAUUUUUAUUUAUUUAUUUUUUUUGCCUAUGCAUAUUUUUUUUUCCCACUGUACAGCAAGGGGGUCAGGUUAUCCUUACAUGUAUACAUUGCAAUUACAGUUUUUCCCCCACCCUUUCUUCUGUUGCAACAUGAGUAUCUAGACAUAGUUCUCAAUGCUAUUCAGCGGGAUCUCCUUGUAAAUCUAUUCUAGGUUGUGUCUGAUAAGCCCAAGCUCCCGAUCCCUCCCACUCCCUCCCCCUCCCAUCAGGCAGCCACAAGUCUCUUCUCCAAGUCCAUGAUUUUCUUUUCUGAGGAGAUGUUCAUUUGUGCUGGAUAUUACUUUCCAGUUAUAAGUGAUAUCAUAUGGUAUUUGUCUUUGUCUUUCUGGCUCAUUUUACUCAGGAUGAGAUUCUCUAGUUCCAUCCAUGUGGCUGCAAAUGGCAUUAUGCCAUUCUUUUUUAUGGCUGAGUAGUAUUCCAUUGUGUAUAUAUACCACCUCUUCUGAAUCCAAUCAUCUGUCGAUGGACAUUUGGAUUGUUUCCAUGUCCUGGCUAUUGUGAAUAGUGCUGCAAUGAACAUGCGGGUGCAAGUGUCUCUUUUAAGUAGAGCUUUGUCCGGAUAGAUGCCCAAGAGUGGGAUUGUAGGGUCAUAUGGAAGUUCUAUGUAUAGAUUUCUAAGGAGUUAUGAGACACAGAUUUUAAAGUAACCAAUGUAGGGGAGUUCCCAUUGUGGCACAGUGGAAACAAAUUCGACUAGGAGCCCUGAGGUUGCAGGUUUGAUCCCUGGCCUCACUCAGUGGGUUAAGGAUCCAGCGUUGCCAUUAGCUGUGGUGUAGGUCACAGACGUAGCUUGGAUCUAGUGUUGCUGGGGCUCUGGCGUAGGCCGGCAGCAACAUCUCUGAUUAGACUCCUAGCGUGGGAAGCUCCAUAUGCCGCAGGUGUGGCCCUAAAAGGUCAAAAGCCAAAAAAAAAAAAAAAAAAUCAAUAAAAUAAAGUAAAAUAACCAAUGUUAACAUGUCCCUCAACAUAGAUAACAAGAUAAAAAGAGUUCACUGGAGAAUCAGACAUUACAUUAAAAAAUUAUGUAGAAAUUAUGGAACUAAAAAAUACAACUGGAAUGGGGAACUAAAUAGAUGUAUUAACCAUAGCUUAGACAACUUUGAAGAAAGGCUUCCAAACUGGAAGAUAGAUCAGUAGAAAACAUUCAGAUUGAUGCAAGGAGAAGAACAAGGACAGAAAACAUAGGAAGGCAUGUAAGAGCUACAUGGGUCAUGUUGGAAAAGUCUAACAUGUGUAACUGAGCAUUCAAAGGGAUCAGAGAAAGAUGAAAUGGGGUAGAAGAAGAAAAUGGCUAAUAUGGAUUGAUUUUCUCUAAUUUAUGAAAGAUAUCAAGCCCAAACUCAAGGAGAUGUAGCAUGUUAAGAAGGGUAAGUAAAAAUAAAACCUGAUUUGAGAAUCUCUUUGUAAAAUUCAGAAACCAACAAUAAAGGUAAAUAUAAAAUGCAUUCAAGGGAAAAAAACAGAUGCAUUUCCUCAAAGAAGUAGCAACAAAACUUAGGGGUGACUUACUAAGUGAAACAGUGGGUACAAGAACAUAAAGAACAGCAUUUUUUGUAUGUUGAAAGGCAGUAAUUGUCAACAAAUAAUGAUAUACUUGGUGAAAAUAUUUGUCAAAGUGAAAGGAAAAUGAAAAUAUUGUAAAACCCUUUUCCCAAACCACCUUACACACACACACACCCCCACACCCCCACACCCCCAUUCAUUUCUAGCAGAUUUGCCUUAAAGGAAAUCCUAAAGGAAUAACUAUACAAGUGGAACGAAAAUGAUUUAAGAUAGCAUAAGGAAUAAUAAGCAUUGGGAUUGAUGAAUAUAUGGGUCAAUUUAAAUAAAUAUCAAGUUUCACAAACAGCAAUUAUAAUGUCAGCUUCCAAGUUUUAUGUAGAAUUAAAAUUUAUAAUACCAAUAACAAAAAGUAGGAGUGGUUAAGUAGAAUUACAGCUUUAGCAUUUUCUAGUGUCUAUAUAUAUUAGAAUAUUAUGUCAGUUCCCAAAGAAGUAAAAUAAAAAUGAAUGAAGGGAAGAUCACAAAUUAACUAGUCCUAAAAAAGCAAUUAAGAGGGACAAAAUAUAACAUAGAACAUUUGGAACUAAUAGUAAACAGAGUAAAUAAAGACUCACCUAUAUAUCAUAUGUGUCAAUAUUUAUAAUAAACGAAGUGAAAGAUGAUAAUAAAUCAUGCUGUCAUCACUUUUAUGCAGUAUUGUACUGGAAUUCAUAAUUACUACCAUGAGUAAUGAAAAAUCAUAUAAAUAAGAGAAAGAAAAAUCUGUCAUUCUUUACCAAUGGCACUCUGUGUAUAUAGAAAACCCAACUGAUCUACAGACUGUUGGAAUUAAAGUAAUUUUACAAGAUUGCUGACUACAAAUUUAGCCUACAAAAAUCAUUAUAUACCAAUAAUAAAAAGUAGAACAUGGAAUCUAAAGUACCAACAAUUUAUAAUAUCAUAAAAGUCAUUAUAUUGGAAUAUAAUGUGUACAAGACAUUUAUGCAAGAAAAAUAAUAUAUUAUUGAGAGAAAUUAAAGAAUACCUAAAUAAUGGAAAGAUAUCUCUCUCUAAUGGAUUAGAAGAUUCAGUAAUAGAAAGAUGUCAGUUUCCUCUAAAUUGACAUGUAGGUUCAAGUAAUUCCAAUCAAAGUACCAACAGGUACACUGCGAAAAUUGAUAAACAGAUACUAAAACAUGUGAAUGCUAAUACCAGCCAAACCAUCUGUAUAGAAGAAAAUAUUUAAGGGACCAGAAAUCAAGACUUAUUAUAGUGCUACAGUUCAUAAGACAAUAUUGUAUUGGCUUAAGGAUAGAAAAAUAGAUUAAUGGAACAGAACAAGAGGCCCAAAACAGAGCCAUGUAUGUACAGUCAAGUAGUUUAUGUCAAAAGUGACCCUGCAGUGCAGUGGGUAAGGAAUCUUUUCAACAAAUCAGGUUGAGUCAAAUAGUAUCCACAUAGUAAAAAAAAAAAAACAAAAAUCUUGACCCUUGCUUCAUAGCAUAUACAAAAAUUAAUUCCAAAUGGAAUGUAUAUCUCAAUAUGAAAGAUAAAAAUGUAAGCAUUCUGGAGAGUAAGAAAUCUUGAAGUAAUCAGAAUAUUUUCCUAUGGAUAAAAACAGGAUAGACAAAUGAAUAAAAUUGUGAUUCUUUUAAGAAGGAUGAAGGCCCAGGUGAGUCAGUGUUGUACAGGUAAUAAAAGGAUCUAUUGCUGCAUCGGUCUUACACUGCUACACUGAUGCAGCAUAAUAAUCACAAGUUCACAGUAGCAUACAAAAAUUCAUAUUUGUUAAAGUCUAAGAAAAUGGAGCCAGGUAAUCUCAACUAGAUAUCUUGAAUCUCAAAUCAGCUGUGGUUUAGCUAGUUGAUUUUUCUGGGCUCACUGACUUGUAGGUGGUUGACUGAUUGCUGGCUCAAGUAGGAUGGCCUCCGCAGUGGGUUCUGGGACAACUCAAUUCUGCUUACUGUGCAUUUUAUCCUCCAUGGCAAAACUGCACCUAUUCUCAUGAUAAUAACAGAUAUGGAAGAAUGAUAGCUAACCUAAUUGUGCUAGUGCUUUACAAGUCUCUGCUUGCGUUGUAUUUGCUAAUGAUCCAGUGACGAAAUCAAGCUACAGAGUUUAAAGCCAAAAUCAGAGGUGGUGGGCCUAGAAAGAACUGAAGAUUUGGGAUCCUUUUGCAAUGAAUAUACAGCUACAUAACAUCAUGUUAACCUAAAACAAUAAAACAACCAGUUAUUUUUAGCUGCAAAAUGAGUUUAUAUAAAAGCAGCAAGAAAAUCUUGUUUUAGGGUAUGCAGCUAUGGCAAACCACAUGCAAAUUCAGAAAAGCAACGCAGAGGAAGCUCUUUUAUAGAGGAUAAAGGGAAAUUGAAAGGGUUGUUAUAAACAAAAAACCCUUUGAAGAAAAUUGGGGGUUCAAAGUAUAGUAGCUUUUCAUUGGCUGAGUUGUGACAGUCUUUCAUUGGCAGAAUCUAGUGUCAGGCGAGGAGAAAAUCUUUCUUCUUUCUAUUGACAGGAGUAAAGUAGUGUCACUUCCUGCAGGAGAUGCAGGAUAUGUAUCUGCUUAUGAAGAUCUGUGAGGACAUGAGUUUUUCAUGCAUGAGAGCUUCUUCUGGCUUCUAGAUUCCAGUCUAGUGAGAUUUCCCUUUAUUUUCACCAGUCAUUUACCUAAUCAAUACUUGAGCUGAGGUUCAAUCCACUCUUUUACUUUAAGUCUAAUAUUCACUGUAAUGCACUUCUUCAAAGACUCUUAUGUAAUAUUUAUAGAAUCAGAAAGGUUGGAGUUCCCAUCAAGUCUCAGGGAAAACAAAUCUGACUAGUCCAUGAGGACACAAGUUCGAUCCCUGGCCUCACUCAGGGUGUUAAGGAUCUGGCUUUGGCAGUGAUCUGUGGUGUAUGUCGCAGAUGCGGCUUGGAUCUGGCAUGGCUGUGGCUGUGGUGUAGGCCAGUGGCUACAGCUCCAAUUCGGCCCCUAACUUGGGAAACUCCAUAUGCCUUGGGUGUGGCCCUAAAAAAACCAAAAUAAAAACCCUAAAAAAAACCCCUAUAAAUGUUAUGCUAGGUACUUAGUCUAUUCAAGAGGCAUUUGAUGGUAAUAGCAAUAAAUUAUCUGAUCGAUCAAUGCUGUUUCUCUACUUUGUGGCCAUUUAAACAGUAAGUGUAUUUAAUCUUCUAUUACUCAGAUAACUGAGAAAUCUGGAGAGAUUUCUAAAAAGAAAUGGGUCACUUUACAAGCUCAGAGGCUAUUUGGGAAGGCAUCCAUUAAUUGGAUUUUUUUACUAUAUAAUUCAAGGGCCACCUACAGAGGAAUGGGAUAGGCACAUAGUCUCCUCUGGGUCUGCUUGCACAAAUGCUGCUCAAGAGUCGGGCCAUUUAUGGAGUUCCCUGGUGGGAUAGUGGCAUAAGUGUCUGGCCUUGUCACUACUGUGACUCAAGUUACUGCUGUGGCUCUGGUUUGAUCCCUGGCCUGGGAACUUCUGCAUGCCACAGCCACAGCUAAAGAAAACAAAAGAGUCAGGCCUUUGAUUUGGCCAAAUGGCUUGAAAUAAUUUUUAAAAAUUUACCUACUUUUUUUCCUGUCCCGAAUUAGUUAAUGGAACUUGAAGAAUCACACCCUGGAGAGCUGGAAACUUUCUUAACUCGUUUAUGUUUCAGAAUCUCAACCCUAAAUUGUUAAGGGAGUUGGAAGGUCCCUAAAAGCAACAGAAGACUUUAGAAGUCUUAGUUCCAGGGAUUACCCUUUGGAAGAUUUUUAAAGAGGAUCAUAGGGGGUGAUUUUGGCAUAAAAAUUUCUAUAUCACGGUUUCUUUGAAGAAAUUAUUAUUUUUUUUGAAGUAACAGGAACUAUGUAUGUCAAGAUUUUGUGAGUGAGGCAAGAUUCAGGCUGGUAUCUUGCAAACCAAGAACAUCCAUGUCCUUUUUCAUUGCAAUCUUCUGAGAGAAAAUACCUCUGCACAACCCACAUUAAAACACUUUUCACAACAUAUUAUCAAAACUUAAAAAAUUCAGAGUCUUUUACUCUUUUGAGCACUGUACCAGACAUAAAAGAAAGACCAUGUUGAGGCUCUCCUUUGACUCUCAGUAUUGAAUCACACGUUGACCAAAAGGGAAGAUGCUCCUCACAUGUGCUGAGGUAAGUGGGAGUAGACAAUAUGCAUCUCUGUCUGUAAUCUUAGAUCUACACAAUCCAUUAAUGGGUCUCAGCCAGGCCCGGAAACCAGAAUACAGAUAUCUACCUUAAAAGGAAGUACCAGCUGGUAGGGAAAAUAUUGAGUUGAAGCAAUGAGUCCUGAAUAUGGCAUAAAAGUUUGGCUAUAUCUUCCAGACAUUUACUGCAGAGAAAUCCUAACCAAACAUUUCCCAGCUUUCAACUGAGAAAUGUUGGAUCGGAAGUUCUCCAAGUCUAUUCUGGUGCAGACAUUUAGAAACAAGGAGGAGUUUGUUGGAAAAUAUGUAAUUAUCUUUGCACUGGGAUCAGAAAUCACUUUAGAGAAAAAAUACCUGCAUAAAAUGACAUGGGGUAGGUGACACUCUGACAGAGAUGUUAGAAACAAGAAGGAGGAGUUCCCGUCCUGGCUCAGUGGUUAACAAACCCGACUAGUAUCCAUGAGGAUGCAGGUUGGAUGUGGGUUCAACCCCUGGCCUCGUUCAGUGGGUUAAGGAUCUGGCAUUGCCAUGAGCUUUGGUGUAGGUUGCAGAUGUGGCUCAUAUCUGACCUUGCUGUGGCUGUGGUGCAGGCUGGUGGCUACAGCUCUGAUUCAACCCCUAGCCUGGGAGCUUCCAUAUGCCAUGGGUGUGGCCCUAAAAUAACAAAAAGACAAAAAAAAAAAAAAAAAAGAAAAAA